CAGAAGAUAGUUUAAUUUUAGAAUCCUGGCUUUGGGAGCCAGGGGUGGGAGUUAAAAUCUCUCUCUUUUGG
This 71-nucleotide transfer RNA is filed under the name Rhynchocypris oxycephala (Chinese minnow). RNAcentral describes it as "Phoxinus oxycephalus (Chinese minnow) tRNA-Pro". It matches the Rfam family "tRNA". Rfam says of the family: Transfer RNA (tRNA) molecules are approximately 80 nucleotides in length. Lineage: Eukaryota; Metazoa; Chordata; Actinopteri; Cypriniformes; Leuciscidae. RNAcentral also lists the same sequence under 1 other name. The record is from RNAcentral.